UGGAGUGUGUCACAUGCUCCCAACUGAAGUGAUUUGCAGAGACGUUGUCCCUUUAAGAAGGAAAGAGCACCAUCUGUCCUCACAGAUCGGAAAGACAACAUCAACAUUUUUUUGUCGUAUGCAGACUCGCCUUUGCAUAAAUUAUGUUCAUAACGUAGUGCUUAACGAGCAAUGUUUAUCGAAGCUGGUGGCUUUUUAAUUACAAAGGAAGCAUCGGCAAGACAAUUUCCUUAAGAGUUUGGGAGCGCCAAACGUUUCCAUAACAAUGGUGAAAGCUGUGAAGAAAAAAAUAAAAUAUUUCUCAAGGCCUAUCUUUUUUUAAAAAAUCGCUGCAAAUAUUCCUUCGUUAAUCAAUAGACUUUCCGUUCGUCUUAAAUUGAAAAAAAAUCUCGACUUUUUUUCUUGUAACUUGCCUCAAAAGAAUUGUUGGCAAACAAGCUGGUGAAAAGCGAACAGUUUCCGGGCUACUUUCUGCAGCUGAAAGAUUAAAAACUAACGAGGGAGACUGCAAUCAUUUGGAUGGAACCAUACUCCAACCCAAUAUAGGCAAUUGAGAAAAAAAAUCUAAAGCUGGAGCUGUGGAUUGAAGGCAACUUCUGAGAACUGUUACUGGUAGCCAGGGUGAAAACUGUUUCUUGCUGUAACAGAUCUUCAACCAGAGUGAUGUACAAUGGAAACUGGCAGUCUGACAGAGCAGCGU
Molecule: long non-coding RNA, 700 nt
Organism: Rhincodon typus (whale shark)
Lineage: Eukaryota; Metazoa; Chordata; Chondrichthyes; Orectolobiformes; Rhincodontidae
Exons: 3
Source: RefSeq, a predicted model, not a curated record